AAGUCGUAACAAGGUUUCCGUAGGUGAACCUGCGGAAGGAUCAUUAUUGAAUACGAUUGGUACUGAUGCUGGCCCUUUACUGGGCAUGUGCUCGCCCAUCUAUUUAUCUUCUCUUGUGCACAUCUUGUAGUCUUGGAUGAACCCUUGCGCAUUCGUGCGGUCUGGGAGCUGCGAAUUAAAACCUUUCUUCUCCUGCUUGUCCAAGGCUAUGUUUUCAUAUACACUAUAAAGUUACAGAAUGUCAAUUAACGACUUGUGCUUGUCACGGUCAUUAAACCUAUACAACUUUCAGCAACGGAUCUCUUGGCUCUCCUAUCGAUGAAGAACGCAGCGAAAUGCGAUAAGUAACGUGAAUUGCAGAAUUCAGUGAAUCAUCGAAUCUUUGAACGCACCUUGCGCCCUUUGGUAUUCCGAAGGGCAUGCCUGUUUGAGUGUCAUUAAAUUAUCAACCUUGCUCGCUUUUACCGGCUUGAGUUAGGCUUGGAUGUGAGGGUCUUUGCUGGCUUCCUUCAGUGGAUGGUCUGCUCCCUUUAAAUGCAUUAGUGGGAUCUCUUGUGGACCGUCACUUGGUGUGAUAAUUAUCUAUGUCAUCUUGACUUUGAAGCAAACUAAUGGGAACCUGCUCAUAACCGUCCUUUCAGGACAACUCUUGACAUUUUGACCUCAAAUCAGGUAGGACUACCCGCUGAACUUAAGCAUAUCAAUAAGCGGAGGAAAAGAAACUAACAAGGAUUCCCCUAGUAACUGCGAGUGAAGCGGGAAAAGCUCAAAUUUAAAAUCUGGCGGUCCCUGUGGCCGUCCGAGUUGUAAUUUAGAGAAGUGUUAUCCGUGCUGGACCGUGUACAAGUCUCCUGGAAUGGAGCGUCAUAGAGGGUGAGAAUCCCGUCUUUGACACGGACUGCCAGUGCUUUGUGAUGCGCUCUCAAAGAGUCGAGUUGUUUGGGAAUGCAGCUCAAAAUGGGUGGUAAAUUCCAUCUAAAGCUAAAUAUUGAGGAGAGACCGAUAGCGAACAAGUACCGUGAGGGAAAGAUGAAAAGAACUUUGGAAAGAGAGUUAAACAGUACGUGAAAUUGCUGAAAGGGAAACGCUUGAAGUCAGUCGCGCUGUUCAGGACUCAGCCUUGCUUUGCUUGGUGUACUUCCUGUUCGGUGGGUCAGCAUCAAUUUUGGUCGGUGGAUAAAGGCUUAGAGAAUGUGGCAUCUUCGGGUGUGUUAUAGCUCUGGGUCGCAUACAUCGGCUGGGAUUGAGGAACUCAGCACGCCGCAAGGCCGGGGACUUGUCCCACGUACGUGCUUAGGAUGCUGGCAUAAUGGCUUUAAUCGACC
This 1325-nucleotide ribosomal RNA is filed under the name uncultured Mycena. Its description in RNAcentral is "eukaryotic LSU rRNA". The stretch from base 659 to 1325 matches the Rfam family "Eukaryotic large subunit ribosomal RNA", at positions 1 to 649 of the family's 3401-position model. The record is from RNAcentral. Lineage: Eukaryota; Fungi; Basidiomycota; Agaricomycetes; Agaricales; Tricholomataceae.